CGAAUGCUGACAUAAGUAACGAUAAAGCGGGUGAAAAGCCCGCUCGCCGGAAGACCAAGGGUUCCUGUCCAACGUUAAUCGGGGCAGGGUGAGUCGACCCCUAAGGCGAGGCCGAAAGGCGUAGUCGAUGGGAAACAGGUUAAUAUUCCUGUACUUGGUGUUACUGCGAAGGGGGGACGGAGAAGGCUAUGUUGGCCGGGCGACGGUUGUCCCGGUUUAAGCGUGUAGGCUGGUUUUCCAGGCAAAUCCGGAAAAUCAAGGCUGAGGCGUGAUGACGAGGCACUACGGUGCUGAAGCAACAAAUGCCCUGCUUCCAGGAAAAGCCUCUAAGCAUCAGGUAACAUCAAAUCGUACCCCAAACCGACACAGGUGGUCAGGUAGAGAAUACCAAGGCGCUUGAGAGAACUCGGGUGAAGGAACUAGGCAAAAUGGUGCCGUAACUUCGGGAGAAGGCACGCUGAUAUGUAGGUGAAGCGACUUGCUCGUGGAGCUGAAAUCAGUCGAAGAUACCAGCUGGCUGCAACUGUUUAUUAAAAACACAGCACUGUGCAAACACGAAAGUGGACGUAUACGGUGUGACGCCUGCCCGGUGCCGGAAGGUUAAUUGAUGGGGUCAGCGCAAGCGAAGCUCUUGAUCGAAGCCCCGGUAAACGGCGGCCGUAACUAUAACGGUCCUAAGGUAGCGAAAUUCCUUGUCGGGUAAGUUCCGACCUGCACGAAUGGCGUAAUGAUGGCCAGGCUGUCUCCACCCGAGACUCAGUGAAAUUGAACUCGCUGUGAAGAUGCAGUGUACCCGCGGCAAGACGGAAAGACCCCGUGAACCUUUACUAUAGCUUGACACUGAACAUUGAGCCUUGAUGUGUAGGAUAGGUGGGAGGCUUAGAAGUGUGGACGCCAGUCUGCAUGGAGCCGACCUUGAAAUACCACCCUUUAAUGUUUGAUGUUCUAACGUAGACCCGUGAUCCGGGUUGCGGACAGUGUCUGGUGGGUAGUUUGACUGGGGCGGUCUCCUCCUAAAGAGUAACGGAGGAGCACGAAGGUUGGCUAAUCCUGGUCGGACAUCAGGAGGUUAGUGCAAUGGCAUAAGCCAGCUUGACUGCGAGCGUGACGGCGCGAGCAGGUGCGAAAGCAGGUCAUAGUGAUCCGGUGGUUCUGAAUGGAAGGGCCAUCGCUCAACGGAUAAAAGGUACUCCGGGGAUAACAGGCUGAUACCGCCCAAGAGUUCAUAUCGACGGCGGUGUUUGGCACCUCGAUGUCGGCUCAUCACAUCCUGGGGCUGAAGUAGGUCCCAAGGGUAUGGCUGUUCGCCAUUUAAAGUGGUACGCGAGCUGGGUUUAGAACGUCGUGAGACAGUUCGGUCCCUAUCUGCCGUGGGCGCUGGAGAACUGAGGGGGGCUGCUCCUAGUACGAGAGGACCGGAGUGGACGCAUCACUGGUGUUCGGGUUGUCAUGCCAAUGGCACUGCCCGGUAGCUAAAUGCGGAAGAGAUAAGUGCUGAAAGCAUCUAAGCACGAAACUUGCCCCGAGAUGAGUUCUCCCUGACCCUUUAAGGGUCCUGAAGGAACGUUGAAGACGACGACGUUGAUAGGCCGGGUGUGUAAGCGCAGCGAUGCGUUGAGCUAACCGGUACUAAUGAACCGUGAGGCUUAACCUU
Molecule: ribosomal RNA, 1654 nt
Filed under: Escherichia coli
Lineage: Bacteria; Pseudomonadati; Pseudomonadota; Gammaproteobacteria; Enterobacterales; Enterobacteriaceae
Description: partial 23S ribosomal RNA
Rfam family: Bacterial large subunit ribosomal RNA
Source: RNAcentral